This 61-nucleotide ribosomal RNA is filed under the name Ptilotus murrayi. Its description in RNAcentral is "partial 26S ribosomal RNA". Lineage: Eukaryota; Viridiplantae; Streptophyta; Magnoliopsida; Caryophyllales; Amaranthaceae. The record is from RNAcentral.
CUAGAAAGCAUCGUGCCGUGCAUCUCGUAGCCUAUUAGGGCCGGAAGGACCCGUGUCAACC